GGUUCCUUGCUGGUUGUUGACGUCACUACGCUCACACAGAGGUGGGGUUUGUGUUUUUACAACGUCUCGCUGAUGAGCUAUUGACACUGCAUGAAAAGAGGGAUUUUCGGCAGUAUGCGGCACUGUAAAUUGUCGUGGAAUUUCAGGUUUGCGGCAAUUUGCGGGCAACGCCGAAAACUGCCGUAAAUUGUCAGAAAUUGAUGUGGGCCUCCCUUGGCAGUUGUCCCCCCAUGAUCCCCCUCCUCCUAAUUCUAGGGGAGGCUUUGACAUGUAAAUGAAAAUGCUGUGAGCUAUACAAAUGCAAAUCAGGGUCGUAGAGGGAGUUUUAGCCCAGGUGACAUUUUUUUAAAAGGUAAGAAAAUCUCUGGUACAAAUAGAUCAGGCUCAGUUGCCUAAUUAUAGACUCUUACAUUUUAGCUUGAAUUGAUUUAUUUAAUUCAAAUAUGCUAGAUUACUGUGUAUGCCAUUAGCAAUGGCAAAUGUUAUGUAAAAAAGAUACACAAAAUAACUUCUUUAAAAAAUGAGUUUUAAUCAAGGUAAAAUGAGCAUUCCAAGCAAACAACAUUUGAAUCAGCAUGAGGGGUCUGCAGAGAUCACAGUCUCCUAGAGCUCAACUACAGUGCAUAGUGGCAGGACUACAGUGACCUUUUCUUUGGUCUUACUUAAAUGCACAGAGGAUGUAUUAACCACACAUCUUCUAGCAAUGCGCUCAACUGGCAGAAAUGAUGCUGGGUAUGAGGUGUCUGUUCCCUGCAAGCCCCAAACUUCUAUUGGCUUUCCAUAAAAAUGUCUGUCCGGGUGGGGAUGAAGCCAGGAAACUUGUGCAAGAACAUGUUUAAAUGCCGUACCCUUUGACACAACAUUAACAACUAUAAACUGCUUUAUAAUGGCUGGUCGUAGUUCUGCUAGAGGGUCAAGGACGGGUUCCCCAAAACUGUUAGUGUUUCCACACCACUUAGCAUGAACAUAUGCUGACCUUUAUGCUCUGCAUCUAUCGAUUGCGUAAGUUACAUUCAUAUAUGUUACCCGUUUACAUGUCAUGGCAAAACAUUCAACCUCAGUGACACAAGGGUACAUCUGAUGAUACAUUACCAACAUUGCAUGUCUGUCAGACUCAAGAUUGUCUGGUGGAAUGGAGAAAGAGGCACCACUGUACAGUUUUCUAGGGAAAGUCGUUCCGCUGACACCAAAACAUUGCUUUACAUAAAGCAUAUCAGCUGUUUCAUUGCACGACAAAGUCCCAACCAUUUGUCUUCCUAAAAUACUGGUCCUUCCGUAUAACAAUAACCUCGUAUGUGAUUGGAGGACCCUUAGACCCCUCGUCCAAUCACGUGUGAGGUCAUAGGCAUGACUGAUACAGCAGUACUUGCAAGACGAGCAUACAAACAGACACGCGUGUGUUACUAUAUUCAGAAGAACUGUAUCUCCAGUUCCUUUGUUUGGUUUUUGCUGGUUCGUGAAUAAUGGCUGGACGACGUCUCGCGUUCAACUCGCCUUCAACUCCUCUCCGCGGUCACCAACUUUCGGCCAGUCCGCAGACAGACGAGAAGAAACUGCUGAAUGCUCUCAGUGGAUUGUCUCGUCAACUCCAACAACAAACUGCCGAUAUCAACGAGCGGUUCGCUCCACUGGAGCGUUCGGGACUCUCCAGGUCUCUGUCCAUAGAGAACAGGAUGGCGGCUCUGGAGGAACUGACUCAAAGAAGAGGAGACGGGCGCACAAUCCCAAGAUAGCGGUAAGAAUACGUUCGAUGACUGCAAGCUAAGCUAAAAGUAGCGUAGCCUCAAACGAAAGCUAAGAGUAGCCUAGUAGCCUUACAAGUGAGCAGAAACUGCUUAAUUAAAGGGUAUUUUCUUUGCCGUGUCGUUUACAGGAAGCGGUGCGCCGUCUUCACAACUCCGAGACGAAUUACAGGCGCCACAAACCGGAGCAAGGCCGCCUGUGAGACGUAUUUUGAGACGGUACGCAGGAGCUUUAGGUUUUCCAGCCGGACACUCAUUGCGGGCGGAAGCUGCGAAGGAUUCAGCGCGGAGUCAAGCGAGAAGAAAGAGGCUGCUGGAAUCGAGACAAAGUGUGCUGGCUGAUGACUCGGUGGAGCUCUGGAAAUCCGCCACCGUAGAGCUCACGUCGGACGGAGAGGAUGGCGUUGUUGGCGGGGUCUCGGGGUGGAUUGUACGGUCGCCCCGCACACCAGGCGCCUGCACAACAGACCUGCCUCGGAAAACACGCCGCCAAUGACGGUCUACAACCCCGAGGAGGCAAACGGACAGUUUACUGAGCUGUAGUUUUUUAAACCGCCUUUACCCAAGUGUGGGCAGAUCCUCACUUUGUAUGUAGUUGUUGUUGUUUGUAUGUUGUUAAUAAAGCUCUUUCUUUGCAUAAACAUGUGGCAAAUGUUCAUUUUCUCUAUAAAUACAUUGAUGUCCUGGUUGGUAUCCUAAUAAUAGUGUAGUAGCCUACAUAGGAUAACCAUGAAAUGAAUAUACAGCAUAAUAUGAAUAUAUAAAUAUAUAUAAAUAAAAUGAGGCGGGUGACCAAUAGCGACAGAUCUGCCAACCAAUCACGAGUGAUUGAAAGUUGUGGUUUCAUCCAAUCAUGAACAAGGAAACUCAAGCCUGGUCUGCCCAGGUGUGGUUUUGCUGCCAAUCACGAGUGAUUUUAUUUGUUUGUAAGUUGUGGUUUCAUCCAAUAAGGAGUAAGGAUAUUCAAGCCCGCUCGGCUCGGCCACCCGCGGUUUCGCUGCAUUCAUAUGCUAAUUCGGGCCAUUCGCACCUCCGCCAGCUCUGCACAUACGUCAUGGUUGGUUUCCGACAAUUUGUGGCACAGACAAACGCGACGUGCGCGGGUUGCAAAUUGUCGGAAAUUAGGGAGAUUUCCGGGCGUUUACGGGGACGAAAAUCUCACUUUUCAUGGAGUGUGAAUGAACCAGGAAGCCUGUGAAUAUCUUGCCAAACUUUACCGAACUGUAAAAGUUUCGGACACUUGCAACCACUCACUCCACACCUCAAAACAAACAGGGAGGAAUGUCUGAUGUAGACGUCCACUUUUAGCGGAGUCUAAAAUAUCUUCGGUAUUUCAGAGUCUGAGAUAAAUCACUUUUUCCUGAAAAGGCCAUAUUUCUGAAUUUGGUAAGUCCCAAAAAUGAACAACUGUGAACAUUAUUUUCUUCUGUAUUUAAAUAGGAAUCACAACCCCAAAAUAGAAAUGAGACACUGUGGAGAAUAGCUUUGAACUUGGUUCAGAUCUAUACUUGCUAAUGUAGUAAGUAAAUGUAAUCAAUAAUUGAUUAUUGGAAAAUGCUGUGCAUAGAUCAAACAAGAAAAGGUUGACUCUCAGUUCAGAAACAAAGUCAGGUAUUCUGGAAAAGGUAGCAGAAGAUAGUCCAAAAGUCCAAAGCUCCAGAAGAUUCAUUGCCAGAAAAAAAAGUUAAGACACCUGGGAGAGGAGAGGUCAACUACAUACCUCAAAAUACCAACUGGAGAGACCCCAGACAAAUUAGAAGAGGAGACUGUCACUUUUACAAGUCUUUAUUUCUAUUAUGUAAACAACAUCAAACAUUGACUGUGACAAAAAAAAAUUCAGUUUCAUCUUGUAUGGACAUUCUACUUUUCUAUCACAGAAAAGGUUUGUUGUGACAUUUUAUUUAAAAUAAAGCAAAAUAUAGAAUUGUAUUGGACUACUGUCUUUGCAUGUCAGAAGAACAUUUAUAAAUUAAGGUGUAAUUUAAAAAUUUAGUUUGCAUUGAAUGAGAAAUCUAACUUGAUGAAAGCUGAUGAAUUUGCCUGUAACAAAAUUAUAAAAUUUAGUUUGCAUUGAAUGAGAAAAUUUCACUUGAUGAAAGCUGAGAAAUUUGCAUUUUAGGGCAUUAGGGCAUUUUAACUACACUAAAGUAAAAACCUUGACAUCGGAAUAUUAAAUACUAGGUUUUUCCAAAAUGAAAAAAUCAAGUGGUAACAAAGCUAAAACGGUGUACGGUUGUAUCUUUUUACUUUGCAUAAAAGUACAUUUUUAUCUUGGGUAAAAUAAAUAUUUAUUAUUCAUAUUAAAUUAAAAUUUUAGGUUUAAACCAAAUACAAAGUAUCAUUUUAUUAAGUAUCAGUGUGGUUCUCCUUGCCCUUCUCACCUGCAGAACAUCCCCUCGUCAGCCAUUCACGAUUUAAGCCUGUUGUUCUGUUGUUCCCUGCCAGAUUGGCUUGUGUAUAUGCCAAGUUUUCCAGCGUUUCUAAAUUAGCUUGAUUUCCUUCUUUUCUGACCUAGCCUGCCUUUUUGACCAUGGAUUCCCUGCCUGCCCCCCUGGAUUUGGUUGUCUGAUUCCCAGCCUGGUUCUGACCCUGCCUGUUUCUUCUUGGCUUGCCCCUCUGGAUUUGUUUGCCUACUGACGGAUCCCCCGGUUUUGACCUGGCCUAAACUUAGUAAAAUCUAGCCUGAGUCGUGCUUUUGGGUUCCUUUGUGCACCGGUACCAGUAACCGUUACAGCUGCCAACUAAAGGUACAUCUCUUCAGAGUAUACCUUGACUAAAAAGACUAACAAAUUGUAUCACUUAAAUUGUACUUAUAAUGGCUUUUCUAUAGCAAGUUGUAAAUUGGCUCAUUUAAUGAACUUGCACAUUCUUGUUUCUUGUUGUUUUGAGUUUCUAUCUUUAUGGUUGAAAUGCACUUAUUCUUUUGCUGUGGAUAAAAGGGUCAGCUAAAUGACAUGUAAUAUAUAAAGGUAUCAAACAUGCAUUAAUACUUUGCAGUUAAAUAUUAAACAUUUAUUCAGUUUAACAGUGUGUUUAACAUAAUAAGGAUCUCUUAUUCAUACAAUUCCAUAUAUAUAUAUAUAUAUAUAUAUAUAUACACACACACACACACGGAAUCUACAUGAACCUAGUUUGUUGGGGAAACUGUGUGUGUGUGUGUGUGACAGACCAACUCAAAAGCCCUACAAAACACACACAAUUAAUUAUUUGGGAUAAAAUGUCCCUGUUUUCAUCUACGUCCACGUUAUGGUUCCUCCUAAUUUUUCCGUCGCAGCUGAAUACCUAUGUUGACUUUCCCUAACUGAGUUAUCACUGCGGUCAAGCCAGCCUCCACUUUGAAAAACACAGUCGAUCCAUCUUGCACGUUAUUUCAAGGUACGCCUAUAUACUAAAGAUUACGGUAGUGGUAUUAUCCGUGUGCGUCCUGGUGUUCUCUAUCGUUUUCUUGGUUUUCCAAUAAGUGCUUCAUGUCCCUUACUCAUGUAUCUGUCCAUGCUGGAUUCUGUCCCCGUUGAUUUAAAAAGGGAGCAUGGGAAGCUAAACACGGCGCUAGCAUGACUUCAUCCGGCUAGCUAAAUAUUCUGGGUGUAGCAGUCUCUACAGAAUCUUCAUAUGUGCGGCUUCUGUUCCACGCCAGUGCGCUGUUUGAUUGUGAGGUCAGGCUGAUCUUGGUCCAGUUCUUUUAGCUCUAGUUUUCCCGGAAAAGUUUUUCUCUCAAAUGGGUCAGACAUGGAGAGGAGGUGCAGGAAAAGCAUAUAUUGCGCAGAUAUCUUAAUUUACAAAUAUUGCUGGGUACAUUCCAUGUUUCAAAAACAAAUACACAAAUAUUGACUAUUUGUAAAAUGUAUUUAAUAUAAUUAAAAAAAAUCUUUUUUGUGGCUCGAGGUGGGGCCAUGGCCCUCUAUGGGGCAGCCGUUACAGAUCAGAUAUGAGUGAAGUACAGAGAGCAUGUGGAGACCAUCCAGACUUUUUAUCAACCAUAGGUCUCAGUCACAUCCCCUUUGAUUGUGUGUGAUAUAAAAGCUAUUAAAUAACCGAUGUUAGGCUGGCUGCAUUGAAGUGUGGAAACAUAUGGGUAGACUGCUGAGACUAUUUUGCCCGUUCCUAUUGGAAAGUUACUUAAUAAUUCUUAGGCUCAGUAGAGUGCAGCAUGAUUUGCUGUCAGUCAACAAAAAAUUGAUCAGUCCAUUUAGGUAAGUCUGAUGAUGAAGAAUGACAGUCCCUAAAACGGUCAGUCAGGAAGAACUGACAUUGCUUUCACCUUUUUGUUUACAUCUGAAUACAACUGAAUUACAGGUGAAAGCAACCUUUGUAACAAUAUAUGACAAAUCAUGCCCUGGAAACUAAAUGGAUUAUACCCAACAAUAAGAGUGUCUUUAAACAGACAUUGAAGGAAUAAUAAUGAAACAGCUGACGCAGCAACUUUCCAGAGUGCACCUGCCAUGUUCCAUCGAUGUGCCUGCCUUCGUUGUUGCCUUGGCAUCUGGUUGCUACGGCCACCCGCAGCCUGGCACUUAUCCACCGCUCUGAUCAGGAUUGGCACUCGUUGAUGACAUCAUCAUUACCCAUCAGUCAGCCCUGCUGUUACGAUGAGUGUCCUUCUAUAUGCCACUCUUGCCGCAAUGCAAUUGUGGGAGGGUGAAGGGGGAUGUUUCAGGUUCCAAUAUAGUGCUGGAUGAAAAAGGUGAGCAAUUGUUUUUUUAAUUAUUGGUGGAUUUAGCCAGAGCCAGAUUUGGGUGUGAGGCCUUGCUGGUGAUCCUGCUGACGGCAUUAAGCCAAUCGGACAUUACAUAAAAACUAUACCCAAAACAAGAAAGUGAUAUUAUUGUAUUUCUCAUGAACAUCAACAGCAACCGUUCCUUUUCUUUGCAACUCGUGAGACCUUGAUAAGCAGAAUCUCUACUUCGACUACUUGAGGUUUGCGCAACUGAGAAUAAGCUGGUUGCACUGAAAAAAUGUUUCUUUGCUAUUUUUGUCAGAACAGAUAUUAUAAGCACUUCUGGCUAAUAAAACAAGGAAGGAUUUCAUAGUACAGAAAUUCUUUUAUCCAUACUUAAUUUACGAUACUCUGCAAUACUGUGAACUUCUGUUUGACAUAACUCUCUUGAUCACUAAAGAUGUUCUUUAUUUACAUAUGUUGUAUUAUUGACACUGUCCUUGCAUUGUUCAAUGCAUAUUUCAAUAUUUGUUAUUGGAAUAUGUAUUCCAAACAAUCUGCACAUUUGCCCUCUUCUUCUUCAGUAUAAUCUUCUCAACCCAAUUACCUCAAAGGGAUCAUUGACUUCCGAUCUUAUCAAAUAUAAUUAUUGUUUAUUUGCUGUGAAAAAUGUGAAAGUUGUGCAGAAGCACAGAGCAGCUGGCUUCCAUUCAUUCUAACCUCUCCAGAUAAUAUUGUCCCUUCCACUUGUUUCUGUCAACGGAGAUUUGGUGAGUGAAUAACUGUCAUGUGGUUUAUUCUACGUGGAGCUUGUAUAAAUGACGCUGAAAAGUUACAAAGUUUGUAAUUGCAGGUUAUGAGCAGCAUUUAGAGCAGAGGGAGACAGACGGACAAAGAGAGAGAGCCAGAGACAAAGUGAGGUGUAGGCCAGGGACAGACUUGAUGGGAUUUUAGAAAUCUAUGAGGCUGAUGAUGAAUGUCUGAAAUAGGUUUGUCUGCCCAUUGAAAAGCCAUUUGUUUUCAUUAGCUCCCAAUGCUGGGGUAAGUCUGCAGUGAGGGAAAGGGGUGGGUGGCUGGAGCUUAUGGUCAUUAUGGGAUGGAUCUUGCUAGCUGAAGGAAUUAGCCCAAAGCUAUGUUGGCCAAGUGACUUGAAGUGGGUGACGCAUGACCAUCUUUGGCUCCAUGUACAAACAACAAGCAAGACUGUCCUCGCCAGAAAAAGCAAUGCGCAAAUUGAUUGACGGUUUGAAUAUCAAACAAUCUAUGUGUAUGUAUUUUUUCCCAAUUGUGGCUUGUGGCUCUUCAAUGUCUGACUCCCAAAAUAAAAGAUAGAAGUACAGGGACUGAGUGGCUCCAAGCCUUGUGGUCCAUACAAAGCAGCUCUGACACAAGAAACUGCUAUUCCAUCAUGUUCUAUACAAACUGUCAAAGUGUUUUUUUACACCAUGACAGAAUCUUCGCUUAACCCUAACCUAAGUAUUUUAUCAACCUAAACAACUGUAUUUCACUGAUUUGGGAGAAUUUUAACAGUAUGCUUCAGAGCAGUGGGCCAUGCCAUUUUUCCAAAAAAAACUAUUAGUCCGAAAAUGUCCGAGGGCCCCAAAAAAACAUUUAUAUUUUACGGUUAGAGGACUAUAAGCAUUCGUGAUGCUUUCCAGGUGACUUUUAGUAGUGCACAAGAGGCUACUUUUAGCCUGUUGAGGCCAAAAUGAAGAUUAUAACAAACACAAAAUGAUAUUGAUUAAAAAAAACACCUGCCAACAAAAAAAACAAUUUAAAAAAGACAAUUUAUUCCACCUAUUAAAACUUGUUAACAUAUGUAAUUAUUUUCUGAAUGAUCUUUUCUUACCUGUUCUCUUUAGAUCAGAUGUAGUAAAUAGAUGUAAUAAAAAAAUAUUUUUUCACGUUCAUGGCUUCCAUACAAAGCACAUCAGAACAUUGUGAGGAUUGAUUUUGCAUUCAUCCUUCGAGUUUCGGAAUGCUCUUAUGAUUUUUUUUAUGAGAUAAUCUAAAAGAAAAAAAAAAGUUUGUUGCAUACACAAUCAAGCUAACGUGGUGUAUGAUAAUAUUGCAGUAGAUGUAUGUUGAUAAGGGUGCUUGUGCGUGUGUGUUGAGAGACAGAGAUCAAGACUGCAUUGAAACCCAACUGUAACUCUUGACUUCUGGUACAUGCAGUGUAUAACGAAUGAUAUUAUAUGAGUGAAGCCUUAGAAUCAAAUUCCCGCUGGGGUGACACAUGCAGUAUUCACCUUUCAAUACAUCUACACAUCUAUCUAUCAAAGAUGAUGUAACAUCUCUUAUAAUAUAGCGAGAUCUGUAAGUAGGCAAAACGAACAGCUCUGGAUUGGCUUUUCCUUGGUCUGAAAGGGUUUGUUCAUGCGGAGCUGAGAGUGGCCAGGAUCAAUAAGAGAGAAAAAUAGGAAAAUGACAUGGCUUUCUCCAGAUGAAAGAUCUAAUCUCCAAUAUCCAUUUACAGCUCAGGGCCCUGCACUAAGGCAGCAAGACAGCAACGCAGUUACAGCAAAAAAAACACCCCACCGAUUUCAUGUCCAGAUCGUUGUCCUGACACUCCCUCCUUAACAAUCAUGGUGAUUCUGAGGCAAUGUGCUUAGAGCGAGUUUCUACAUUUGCUGUUGAUGCUUUCUUGUGUGCGUGUGUGUGUGUGUAUAUAUAUAUAUACAUAUACUCCCACUUUUGUGUAUAUGUAUGAAUAUAUAUGUAUGUGUGUGUAUGUAUGUGUG
Molecule: long non-coding RNA, 9140 nt
Organism: Gasterosteus aculeatus aculeatus (three-spined stickleback)
Lineage: Eukaryota; Metazoa; Chordata; Actinopteri; Perciformes; Gasterosteidae
Source: Ensembl